Molecule: non-coding RNA, 2299 nt
Organism: Physcomitrium patens
Lineage: Eukaryota; Viridiplantae; Streptophyta; Bryopsida; Funariales; Funariaceae
Source: RefSeq, a predicted model, not a curated record
CCUGCUUCCAACACGGCCAUCGACGCAGUCGCCUAUCCAGCUCAAACCCUACGCGAAGUGGCGAAAGAGAGUGAGACAAAGAGAGAGCGAGAGAGAUCGAGCGAGCGGAAAAUUUCGUAGUUCGAAUAUCAGAUCUCAAUGCGACGAUCGUGGAGCUUCGCAAGAAUCCAACACGACGCGGUGAUGUUCAUGUAGAGGAUGGAAGAAAACCUACAUCGCCUUCUAUAGUGGAUUUUAUAUUCCGAUCUUCAGAUUUGGUGUCCACCUGACAGGGCGACUGCUUGGCACGAGCAAUGACGCUGAUUUCAAGCUUCGAAUCGAAUUUUUUAGCACUUUGUGUCGAUGGUGUUUGUCGUUUCUGAUACAAUUCUUUGACUGCGUCCGUUCCUCUUUCGAAAAGCGGUUGGAAAUAUUGCGCUGGAGUCACUGUAGGCACAUUCGCGAACUCCAUUCUGGAUUUCUGCCGAUUGUAUCUCUUGAACUCUCGAUUUUCUGCAUUAUUGAUCGUGUGGAUACGCCUUUCUAUACUUCUCAGUUAAGGUUUGAUUCUUCAGCAAUCAAUUCUUCAUUGCUGCGAUUAGCGGAGAGUCGCGAAAUGGCGACGCUGCGGCAGAAGCAGCAGUAUUUUGUGUUUGUCCAUGGGGCUCAGCACGGGGCGUGGUGCUGGUUUAAGACCAUCGAGCUUCUUGAGCAAGCUGGACAUCUCACCAAGGCCGUGGACUUGGUGAGUGCAGGCGAUAGCUCUGUGAACGCCGAUGACGUGGAGUGUUUCGACCAUUACAACCAGCCUCUCUACGAGGUGCUCGAAUCCCUUGGCACUAAUCAGAAGGUUAUUCUCGUUUGUCACAGCAUGGGUGGCACAACUGUAGCGCGGGCAUGUGAGCGAUAUCCUCUUCGCAUUCAUGUGGCAGUCUACAUAGCUGGUGCUAUGCUCAAGAGUGGAAUGUCGCAGAGUGAAAAUCACGACGAGGUAUUCAGAGAAACAUCGAAAGAUGCACAGUUCCACUUCGGCAAGGGGGAACAAAAUCCUCCAACCUCGUGCUGGCCAUCCUUAGAGAUUGUUACGAAAGCUUAUUAUAAUUUGUGCUCCUCUGAGGACAUUCAGUUUGCAGCGAAGCGUUUGGGAGGAGUACCAAUAAUGUGUGACGAUGCCACAAUAUUCACAGCGAACUAUCAUAGUGUCCCGCGUGUGUACAUUCGGACCUCUUUUGACAAAGCUAUAGCGCCUCAUUUUCAGGAUCGGUACGUAUUGCAAAACCCUCCAACAGAGGUCCUUCAUUUAGAAUCAGACCACAGUCCAUUUUUCUCUGCUACGAGGGAGCUUAAUGAACAUCUGUUGUAUGUUGCUGCUACGUAUGCAAACUAAUGCUGCUACACUCGCCUUCUAAGAAGGGUUACGAAGGCUUGUGGUUGAUAUAGCUUUUUGUAAAAUGGAGGGUAGGUUGCACAAAGUAAGUCCACUUUAGUCGAUACCUAAGAAAUUUAUCCUUUGCAUCGAUGAGUCAUUGGUUUAAUAUUCACAGUAGGUCUGACUUGCAAUCCAUGAUCGUGUCUGUUUCAAUACAAGUGACUAGUGCUUCAGCUUUAUUUAAUAGGUAAUAUUACAUUUAGAGACGCUUGUGCUUCCUAUUACUCUAUUUCCGUUCUGUACAAAUCUGCGUCCCAACGAAUCCUGAUCAAACUUCCGGAAGAUCGAGUGUCUUCCUGGCUUGAGAAAAUUUGUUCAACAGCAUUCGAAAUUCCUUGAAACAUCUUGAGCAUAAUUUCUUAAAUACAGUCGAGCAAAAUUGAAUGGUGUAUCUCUCCUCCUGCAUCUGCUGUGUAACCUCUACAGGGAAUGGUGUAGUUGAAGAGUCUAUCCGGGAUGAAGUCAACAAGAGCAACUAUGGAGCAUUUUGGAACCACCAAAGGACAACAAGAAAUCACAAGAAUUGAAUUACAAAAACCAGGAAGCAAUAAUCAACAUUUUGGUUUACUCCAUCAGACUAGAUUUAUUGGGAAACUUAAUCAGCUUUCACGAUCCAAAGAGCCUUUAGGAUUUUCUUGAAGAGACUUAUGACAUCAAUAUAGACAGUAGGAAGUAUCAUCUGAAGAACAAGUUUUUAGUUGUCACCAUAAACGAGGAGUCUAGAUUCAAGUUAUAUUUCAACAAGUUCAAAACCAUAUUGUCUCAGCUUUCAUUUUUUGGCGUUACCAUUGCAGAUUUUGACUUAGUUCAGAUUGUAAUGAAGAACAUACCACAUAGUUACGACCACUUCCUGCAAUAUUAUACAAGUGCAGGUAAGUAUCUAUAGUUCAA